UACGUAGGGGGCAAGCGUUGUCCGGAAUCACUGGGCGUAAAGCGCACGUAGGCGGCUGUGUCAGUCAGGGGUGAAAUCCCGGAGCUCAACUUCGGAACUGCCUUUGAUACAGCACAUCUGGAGUCCGGAAGAGGUGGGUGGAAUUCCUAGUGUAGAGGUGAAAUUCGUAGAUAUUAGGAAGAACACCGGUGGCGAAGGCGGCCCACUGGUCCGGUACUGACGCUGAGGUGCGAAAGCGUGGGGAGCAAACAGG
RNAcentral lists this ribosomal RNA (253 nucleotides) under uncultured bacterium. Its description in RNAcentral is "partial 16S ribosomal RNA". It matches the Rfam family "Bacterial small subunit ribosomal RNA", at positions 524 to 776 of the family's 1533-position model. The record is from RNAcentral.